CGCCUAAAGAACUACUGGAAGUCUGGAACCCUGGAAGUCACUUACCCGAGCCACUUCUCUCUUCCCUCAUCCAUCUUCCCUCUAGUCGCCGCAUGCCGCUGGUCGCCGGUGCCUUCUUCCAUCUAGUCGCUGCAUGCCAUUGGUAGCCUCUUCCUUCUGGUAGCCGCUGGUCAUCGGUGCCCUCUUCCUUCUAGGCGCUGCUGGUAGCCGCUUCCCUCUAGGCGCCGCCGCCCUCUUUCAGACUCUGGUUUCCUUUGUAAGGGACUCUCUCUGGUUCUAAUAAAAUCAAAGAGGCUCAAAGAAGCCAUUGCUCAAAGAGGUUGGUUCCUACCCUCGCCUACCCUUGCUGCUUUUGCUGGUUCUGUUAAUAUCAAAGAAGCUGCUGCCUUCAAGCUUCUCUCUCUUGUCUCUCAGACUCUCUCUGAUUCUGAUAAGCACUAGGGUUCAAUUGUUAAUCCUGAAGAUCAAGAGAUGUGCAUUUGCUGAGUGAAGACAAGUAUUCUGUGAGAUUCAUCAUCUAGUUGGUCCCAGGGGAUAUGGGCUAAUAUGAGCUAUCUGGAAGUGUGCUGCUGACCUAACAAUAAGGAAGCCUAACUAAUUGGUCUCAUUUCAUGGAUUUUCCCUCCUGCAGUGGCUCUUGGAGAAGGCGGAGGUCUUGUUCAAGAUAAUUACAAGUGGAGCUGAAGUAUGAACUAUCUGCAAUUGUGGUGCAUGUUGGGUUUUCCCCUUGGUCUGGACAUUAUUUUUGCUAUAUUCGUUCCUCCCCACACACGGCAUAGGUUGGAUGACUCAAAGGUAA
This is a long non-coding RNA of Macadamia integrifolia, 799 nucleotides long. RefSeq lists it as uncharacterized. The record is from RefSeq and is a predicted model, not a curated record. The transcript is spliced from 5 exons. NCBI's taxonomy places the organism in Eukaryota, Viridiplantae, Streptophyta, Magnoliopsida, Proteales, Proteaceae.